RNAcentral lists this unclassified non-coding RNA (345 nucleotides) under soil metagenome. RNAcentral's name for it is "partial contains 5.8S ribosomal RNA, internal transcribed spacer 2, and large subunit ribosomal RNA". The stretch from base 1 to 120 matches the Rfam family "5.8S ribosomal RNA", at positions 35 to 154 of the family's 154-position model. The record is from RNAcentral.
GAUGAAGAACGCAGCGAAAUGCGAUACGUAAUGUGAAUUGCAGAAUUCAGUGAAUCAUCGAGUCUUUGAACGCACAUUGCGCCCCCUGGUAUUCCGGGGGGCAUGCCUGUCCGAGCGUCAUUGCUGCCCUCAAGCACGGCUUGUGUGUUGGGCCUCCGUCCUCCUCCCGGGGGACGGGCCCGAAAGGCAGCGGCGGCACCGCGUCCGGUCCUCGAGCGUAUGGGGCUUCGUCACCCGCUCUUGUAGGCCCGGUCGGCGCUUGCCGACACAUCAAUCUUUUUUCCAGGUUGACCUCGGAUCAGGUAGGGAUAUCCGCUGAACUUAAGCAUAUCAAUAAGCGGAGGA